Molecule: small nucleolar RNA, 137 nt
Organism: Salarias fasciatus (jewelled blenny)
Lineage: Eukaryota; Metazoa; Chordata; Actinopteri; Blenniiformes; Blenniidae
Source: Ensembl
CGCAGCCUUGUCAAAUUCAGUGCGUCCUGCUUGGUGGACGCCACUGGCCCAACCGGCUGCCACAGCGAAGCUGCAGUUCAUGGGCCCCGCCGUGCGCCUCCGUCACUGCCGGGGAUAAGCAUGCACUGCACACACGC